This 28-nucleotide non-coding RNA is filed under the name Bombyx mori (domestic silkworm). Lineage: Eukaryota; Metazoa; Arthropoda; Insecta; Lepidoptera; Bombycidae. The record is from RNAcentral.
UUCAAAGUCAUAUGCUGAUAGUUUGAUA